RNAcentral lists this ribosomal RNA (388 nucleotides) under Philypnodon macrostomus. Its description in RNAcentral is "partial 12S ribosomal RNA". It matches the Rfam family "Bacterial small subunit ribosomal RNA", at positions 794 to 1384 of the family's 1533-position model. The record is from RNAcentral. Lineage: Eukaryota; Metazoa; Chordata; Actinopteri; Gobiiformes; Eleotridae.
GCCUUGCCCUAAACAAAAGUAGCAAAGUAUGUCUGCUACUCGCCCGGGAACUACGAGCAAAAGCUUAAAACCCAAAGGACUUGGCGGUGCUUUAGACCCACCUAGAGGAGCCUGUUCUGGAACCGAUAACCCCCGUUCAACCUCACCCUCUCUUGUUCCACCCGCCUAUAUACCGCCGUCGUCAGCUUACCCUGCAAAGGACACACAGUAAGCGUAAUUGGCAUAGCCCAAAACGUCAGGUCGAGGUGUAGCGUAUGAGAGGGGAAGAAAUGGGCUACAUUCCCUGACACAGUGUACACGAACGAUGUCAUGAAAUAAACAUCUAAAGGAGGAUUUAGCAGUAAGAAGGAAAGCAGAGCGUUCCUCUGAAAAUGGCCCUGAAGCGCGC